GAGUAAAUACAGCACACACCGUGUCGUUGUCUAGGAAGAUCUAGAAUCUAGAGGGAGCUUGAAGUAGUCGAGGGCUGCGACACGAUCAAUCUAUCCGUCGAUCCCUUCUCGAUCCUGCGUGGGAUCCACCGUGGUACUGUGCCGUUACCUACGUCCUAGCCAAAGAUGCACGAGGAAGAAUAUCCGCCAGGAUUAUCUACAUACCAGAGACGUUUUUCGGACCAUACUAAAACUGCGAGAGGCUGGUUUUUGCACUUGGUGCUGACACGAUCUGUCGAGGAUCUCUAAUUAUUACAUAGCAUCGGACCUCCCGGCAACCGACCCUGAUUUCUUCGAUUCAUAAAUAUUCACUGUUAGGUGAAAAACGAGCUGUCUGCCAUAGUUCAAAGAUAAGAUAUCCGCGCUAGCGGAGAACACGGAACGCUCGAUUUACGAGGCUUAGGAUCUCAGUGGAUUCCAAAAGCUUCAGAGACACACCCCCCUCGAGUCCAAGCUGUAACCCGACACAAAAGAACACCGAUAGAGUUACUCGAAUCGUUUGUUCCGAAUUUUGAUUUUUCCAGAAAGCUCGUCCCAGCGCUGAAUUAUAAAUGAAUGAAUUGGCUCGCUACAAAGAAACUAUUAAUCCUUCUAUAAUUGAAUUUAAACGAUAGUUUUGGAUAAUUCCAUUCGAAGAAACGAAAAUCGGUACACGGGUCAACAAACACAGCACGUGACGACGCUCGAAAUCGUAACGACGACUCGCUUCCCUGCCAGAGAACGGCUAAUCGUCCAAAUAUAAUAAACAAAGUUCCGAGCACACACGGAGAACACGUCAAAGGACUCCUUGCUGUUAGAAGACAUUCCAGACUUCCGAGAUAGACUUCCGUCCUCCAGAAACAAAACGCCGUCAGCACGUGCACCGAACAGCCAGGAUACCUUCGCGAUGAAGCGAGGCGAAGCACGAGUCAGUUACGAGACGCAAGAAGCGAUUUUAAAGGAUAAAAAAAAAGAUGAUUAACGAUCGGAAG
Long non-coding RNA from Hylaeus volcanicus, 1010 nucleotides. RefSeq lists it as uncharacterized. NCBI's taxonomy places the organism in Eukaryota, Metazoa, Arthropoda, Insecta, Hymenoptera, Colletidae. The record is from RefSeq and is a predicted model, not a curated record. The transcript is spliced from 3 exons.